CAUAACAACUUCUGAUUAAAAUUUUAUUGUUAUUUUAUUUCCGGCUCUGAAAAGACGCAAAAAAAUUCUCUCCGCGUUUUCAAAAUUGAAACUCAAAAUUUUUUGUGAAAAUAACUCCUUUUAUUUAAAAACUUAAAAACAAAAUGGGUUGCGGACCUUGCUGCGGUGGCUGCUGCUCUCCUUGUUGUGGUCCUUGCUGUGUACCUUGCUGUGCACCUUGCGUUUACGUACCCUACUGCUGUGCACCUUGUUGUGCCCCCUGCUGUGGACCGUGUUGUGGAUCUUGCUGUGGCGGUUGUGGCGGGUGCUGUUGAUGUUACCUGAUUACCUACGUUCUCGAAGAAUUCCAACGAUCAAUGUCUUUGAAAAAACUAUGACGCCCCUCCGGGACCAAAUUUUGUUAAAAUGUAAUUGAUCAUAAUAUGUAACAUCCGCCCAUAAAAAAAAAUAAAAACCCAAACACCUAAAAA
Long non-coding RNA from Harmonia axyridis, 470 nucleotides. RefSeq lists it as uncharacterized. The transcript is spliced from 2 exons. The record is from RefSeq and is a predicted model, not a curated record. Lineage: Eukaryota; Metazoa; Arthropoda; Insecta; Coleoptera; Coccinellidae.